GAUGAACGCUGGCGGCGUGCCUAAUACAUGCCAGUCGAGCGAACAGACGAGGAGCUUGCUCCUCUGACGUUAGCGGCGGACGGGUGAGUAACACGUGGAUAACCUACCUAUAAGACUGGGAUAACUUCGGGAAACCGGAGCUAAUACCGGAUAACAUGUUGAACCGCAUGGUUCAACAGUGAAAGACGGUCUUGCUGUCACUUAUAGAUGGAUCCGCGCCGCAUUAGCUAGUUGGUAAGGUAACGGCUUACCAAGGCAACGAUGCGUAGCCGACCUGAGAGGGUGAUCGGCCACACUGGAACUGAGACACGGUCCAGACUCCUACGGGAGGCAGCAGUAGGGAAUCUUCCGCAAUGGGCGAAAGCCUGACGGAGCAACGCCGCGUGAGUGAAGAAGGUCUUCGGAUCGUUAAACUCUGUUAUUAGGGAAGAACAAAUGUGUAAGUAACUAUGCACGUCUUGACGGUACCUAAUCAGAAAGCCACGGCUAACUACGUG
Molecule: ribosomal RNA, 497 nt
Filed under: uncultured bacterium
Lineage: Bacteria
Description: partial 16S ribosomal RNA
Rfam family: Bacterial small subunit ribosomal RNA
Source: RNAcentral